GACGAACGCUGGCGGCGUGCCUAAUACAUGCGAGUCGAGCGCAGGAAGCCAUCCGAACCCUUCGGGGGGACGUGGAAGGAAGGAGCGGCGGACGGGGGAGUAACACGUAAAGAACCUGCCCACAGGACUGGGAUAACCACGAGAAAUCGGGGCUACUACCGGUUGGGUGAUCGGACCGCAUGGUCCGAGGGUGAAAGGCGCGCCGGCGGCGGCUGGGGAUGGCUGUGCGGUGCAUUAGCUAGCUGGUGGGGUAGUGGCACACCAAGGCUACGAUGGGUAGGCGGCCUGAGAGGGUGACCGGCGACAUUGGGACUGAGGUAGGGACCAGACUCCUACGGGAGGCAGGAGUGGGGAGUAUUGCAGAAUGGGGGGAAGCCUAAUGCAGCAACGCCGCGUGCGGGAUGACGGCCUUCGGGUUGUAAACCGCUUUCGCCUGUGACGAAGCGUGAGUGACGGUAAUGGGUAAAGAAGCACCGGCUAACUACGUG
Molecule: ribosomal RNA, 488 nt
Filed under: uncultured bacterium
Lineage: Bacteria
Description: partial 16S ribosomal RNA
Rfam family: Bacterial small subunit ribosomal RNA
Source: RNAcentral